GGUCGGCAGCCGCCGCCUCGUCGCCGCGGCAGACCAACUCGAAUUGUUCUUCCCCCAUGGAAGCACGGAGAUGCCCCGAAGUGAAUCUCGAUGCAGCCAGUAAGACAGACUGAGCCGACAAACAUGUGAUGUCAGUUCUUAGGGAAGAGCUGAAUGUGAAAGCCAUCUGGGAAGCUCAGUCCUGGGGUACGCAUUAUGUUACCUCCUUUUACCGUCUUCCAUCUGAAAUGACGAAAUUUAAGGCAGUGGAUGAAGGUCGCCAUCAGGACCUUGCUGAGGUCAGUUCCGACGCAGAACCGGAGACCCCCGCCGAACGCCAUGAAAUGCUUUGUUCCACCGGUGAUUUCCAUCUUAUCCUGCAGCCCAAGUAAAACCCGGAAGUGUUAUUUCUUCAGACAGAUAGGUGAGUCAAGACUCUAGACCCAAAAGUAAACACAACACAUGACUUUCAUAUGCACUCUCGCUCACGAAGGCCAUGCGUGCAUGGACGCUUCUGUAAGCAGAUAUAUAUAUUAAUCUAGCUUCCAUUUGCUUCUACCGCUAUGAGACACUAGCAUGGCCGCAUCCUUUUCUUUAUUCCUACCUGUUCCUUAUCAACAGAACAGUGAGGAUUAAGUAUCAUUUGACA
This is a long non-coding RNA of Aegilops tauschii subsp. strangulata, 628 nucleotides long. RefSeq lists it as uncharacterized. Lineage: Eukaryota; Viridiplantae; Streptophyta; Magnoliopsida; Poales; Poaceae. The record is from RefSeq and is a predicted model, not a curated record.